AUGCGGCAAGCGUUCCAAUCAAACAUGUUCACAUUCACUGACAAGCUAAUGGCGUGCCUCGGAGAAAUGUGUACAUGUUGUAAAGCACACGGACGGAAAAUGUGUGUCCUCAAGAGCGAAGACAAAACCAUACAUGAACCGCCCCCAACUCCAUCAACUGAACAGCUAAGCACUCCACUAGUCACCAAGAUUGGACCACGCCUUCCUGCACCAGGAAUGCCAGAAGGUCAAGUGUCUGCUACUAGUUCUGUUUCUAGGAAAAGGGAUGGAAGCCUAUCAUCAAGUAUGCAGUCCGGUCCAUCUAAGAGACUUUGUUUACCAGCCUCCAUUGGAGAAGAUGACCUUUGCCAAAAACAGAGACCAAUAGCCCAAGAUUCUAUAGUUAUGGACAUCGCUAGCAGCAUCCUGUCAAUGUAUGAUGAUCUAACAGCCGUCCUUGUCACUUAUUAUGCCGAGAUCCGUCCAGCACACACGGCGAUCUUGUUUGGUGCAACAACAGACGGAGCACCUGUGAAGAUUGACCUGGCACAGUGCAACUUUGGGAGGGACCCAUGGGUUGCUGGUUCGGUACCCCCGCCCCCUCCAGAAAAUGCGCUUAGGGCUAUACGAGACUGGAUGUCAGCAGUAUCCAUGACCAAUUUGCAGAGGAAUUGGAUUUUACACCUUAAACCAAGGCUCAUAUCAAUCGAAGGGCUUCAAAUCCAGCGACAACUUGCACAUGGAGAACCAAUGCCACACGAGAUAUGUACUGCUAUCUUUCGGAGGCUUGCCCAACUGGACCAGUCUUGCUCUAAGGACACGCCUGGCAACAUCUGGAGGAAGUACAUAGAGCCUGACUUUGCUACAACUGUUUUGUCGAACGCCGAUCCAUUGACUGUUCAAUCUAUUCGCACUGGGUUUCAGGAAGGAACAGGUCUUUGCAACCCAGCUUCAUGCCGAAUGUGGUUCAUCCCAGCAAUUCUUCCAGAUGGAUGGGCUGUAUAUUUAUUUGAUAUGAUGCGGAAACGAAUCAUUGUGUUAGACCCAGCAGUUGGCCCAUUUGGGUAUAGCAAUAGGCGGGUCAGCAUGCACGAGUUUGUAAGCAACAAACUGCAUGCUGCCCUGUUCAACUGUUUACAUAGUUUCUUUAGUUCUUGGCACUGUGAUUCCACUAACUAG
RNAcentral lists this ribosomal RNA (1158 nucleotides) under Triticum aestivum (bread wheat). Its description in RNAcentral is "partial small subunit ribosomal RNA". The record is from RNAcentral. Lineage: Eukaryota; Viridiplantae; Streptophyta; Magnoliopsida; Poales; Poaceae.